CCUACGGGUGGCAGCAGUGGGGAAUAUUGGGCAAUGGGCGCAAGCCUGACCCAGCAACGCCGCGUGAAGGAAGAAGGCUUUCGGGUUGUAAACUUCUUUUGUCAGGGACGAAGCAAGUGACGGUACCUGACGAAUAAGCCACGGCUAACUACGUGCCAGCAGCCGCGGUAAUACGUAGGUGGCAAGCGUUAUCCGGAUUUACUGGGUGUAAAGGGCGUGUAGGCGGGACUGCAAGUCAGAUGUGAAAACCACGGGCUCAACCUGUGGCCUGCAUUUGAAACUGUAGUUCUUGAGUACUGGAGAGGCAGACGGAAUUCCUAGUGUAGCGGUGAAAUGCUUAGAUAUCACACAGAACACCGAUUGCGAAGGCAGCUUUCCAAGCUAUUACUGACGCUGAGGCACGAAAGCGUGGGGAGCGAACAGGAUUAGAUACCCUUGUAGUC
Molecule: ribosomal RNA, 443 nt
Filed under: uncultured bacterium
Lineage: Bacteria
Description: partial 16S ribosomal RNA
Rfam family: Bacterial small subunit ribosomal RNA
Source: RNAcentral